AUCCCCACCCCCUACCCGCACCACCACCUCCACUCUAAAAAUAUACCGGAUAAUGGAGUUGGGCCACCAUUGACCACAAGGCAAACCGGCGGAGCCACCAGAAUGCUGUCGGAACUGCUUGAAUCAUCGAAAAUCAUGUUGGAAUCCUCGAACUAUCGACGGAGCCACCGGAUCGCAAUCGAAAAUGCUGAAAGUACCGGCGAAUUUAUGACUUCGCUCACAAUGUCAUGGCAAAGCUGCACCAUAUAGAACCUGAGAAAUUUCAACGAUGUUUAUUAACUCUGAGGAGCUUGAUGUGAUGAAGAUGUACUGAUAUUCUUACGCACGGGUAAAGGUAUUGAAGCAACAUCAUUGAUUAGAGUUUAGUAUUAAGUGCUAGUCCCCAAAGAAGGAAGCUUCGUCGGAGAGUUGCUUAUCGCCUGCCUCCAAGGAAGUUGAGCGGGAUGAGGUGACUGCAAUACGGGAAUGGUGAGACUAGAAUGCAGUUAAGCAGUGGAAUUGACAGAUUCAAUGUCUUCGAUGAAAGAAGUUGUGGUCAGAAUUGCAGAUGGAUGUCGUCGAUGAAAGAAGCGGUGGUCGGAGAUGGAGAAGGAGGCUAGGCUCGACUGCAACUGAUGAGGUAUGGAGUUGACUGCAUUUCAUUAGAAUGAAUCACAUUAAAAUUGGUUUUAUCUAUUAUUUGGGCCUAAUUUGGGCUUCAGUUUAUAAUACAGACUUAUUUCAUUAAAAUAGUAACAUGGGCUUAUUUAUUUACUUUAAAGAUA
This is a long non-coding RNA of Lactuca sativa (garden lettuce), 764 nucleotides long. RefSeq lists it as uncharacterized. The record is from RefSeq and is a predicted model, not a curated record. Lineage: Eukaryota; Viridiplantae; Streptophyta; Magnoliopsida; Asterales; Asteraceae.